Molecule: long non-coding RNA, 5851 nt
Filed under: Sus scrofa (pig)
Lineage: Eukaryota; Metazoa; Chordata; Mammalia; Artiodactyla; Suidae
Description: lncRNA (ENSSSCG00035010140.1)
Source: RNAcentral
CUGAAAUAGCGUGAAGUUCAAGUCUACAUCUCCUCCGACUUGAAUAAAUUUACCCUCAGUCACUAUAAAAGCCGCUCCUCUCACCCAGGAUCUUUGAAGCUGAGGCUUCAAAGUAGACCUUCUGGUGCUUCCUAAGCGAAACCCUCCGCCCUCGGCUUGCUUGUGGGGAUACAGAAGAAGCCGCUGUGAGGAGACAGUGGAUUAAUACCUGUAAGGUGUGGAGACCACCACCAGACACAGAGAGCUCAAUAACCAUUGUUGUUGAUCUGUUUAUACUAUUUACCACUGAGACACCCAUAUUCCUGCCCUCAUGACCCCUCCAGGCCCAUGUUCCUCUUAGGGCGCAGAAAGCAUCCGGGAGAAGCCAGAAAGCUCCUCUAAGCUCUUGCUAUCUUGCCAAUUCGCUUUCACCAAAUAGUGGCCAGCUCCUCCCUCCGCCACAGGCCAUUCUGGGGGAAGCCCUGUCUCUCCCCUCUCCCAGUGCCCUCAGUGGCAGGUGACACAAGCUCAUCACAUUUAGUCCUGCACCAAGGUGUGCAGAAGAGUCACUGGGAGCCAUUUCUGAGGCUGCCAGGCUGUAAUGGGUGGUGGGAAAAUGGAGAAUAAACACACUUCAAUGAGUGGAGCUGAGUUUUCCCUCCAGGAUGCGGAAGAAUCCAGAUUCAAACCUGUGAUCCAGAGCCCCUGAGAGCUCCUGGCUAGCCACACCCUGCAAGGCUCUCAGAUCCUGCCCAUCUGGGGCUGAUGGUGGCUUGGUGGGUGUGUACACAGGGCCACUCUCAGGGCCGUUCCACCUUGAAGGCCCCCCCCACCACCGCCGGGGACAGACAGCUGGGGGCACCAGUUCUCUGGUGGUGAAGCCUGCAGGCUUCCAGGGAAAUGUGAGCUAGAAAUGCUGAGGGAUAGAGCCUUCCAGGGCCCCUCAAGUCACACCCAAAGCCUCAGGCCCACCCUGUCAAUCAGCCCAUCAGUCAGCUAAGGGGACACUGGGAGGAACACAGGGAAAGUCACGGCCAAGGCCUCAGGCCACAGGAGUCUCCUCCGGGAUGGGCCCUUAGGCUUUAUACCCUCGCUCCUGCCUCUCCCACCACCACGGGCCACUGGGUCAGAGGGUAAAUUCACAGCUCACACUUGGCGCUUUCCAGGUCUUUCCGAGGGCCGGCACGUUGUAAGUGCAGACCUAUACUACACGGAUUAAUUCGUUCAGCGCUCACAGCAAGUGCAUGAGGGAAAUGCUGUUACUAUGCCUCCUUCCGCAGGUGAAGGACUCGAGGCCCAGAGAAUUAAGAUCCUGUGGCUGAGAAAGGCAAAGCCAGGGGGUCCUGGGGCAUGAAAGCAACUCCGCAACUUGUGACAUGGACUUUAUUUUUUACCAGAAUGGGUCCUGGACCUGUGCUGAGAAGAAGACAGCACAAGUGUCUUUGGUGGGGCUGGAGCUGCCAGAUGGGCUGUGCCAUCAGGCCGCCUCCUCUCUCCAGUGUUACAAGGGACUGUAGGAUAUUUAUUCACACAGACACAGCUCCAUUUACAUUCAGGGUACUGAAGAGCAUUAGCCAGCUGCCGGCCUGCCUGUUCUGGGGAGCGUUUUGGUGCACUGCCACCAGAGGCAGUUCGCAGCCGCCUGGACACGUCACUGCCCGAGCAGAGUGAGCUCUGCCCCAGGACUGUGCCCCUGCCCUCAGCACGCCUGUGUAAGAGCUGCAUCACUUCUGACACUUUAUGCUCUGUGAUGAUGUGUGUACCCCUUGGCUCUUUCAAUAAAAGGCAAACCCCUAAAGCAGAGAGCGUGCCUUCCAUCCAUCCAUUGACUGAAUAUUUUGUGAGCACUUACUAUGUGCCAGGACUGCAGCUAGGGACUAGGAGGCUUUGAGGGGUGGCAGGUCUGGGUGGCCGAGACAAUGAAGGAGUGAUGCAUAGUAGGAGGAGUGCUGAAUACAGAGGGGAAGCAGGCGGGGGCAGAUGGCUGGGCCAUGGCCAGGAAGAGCUUUCCAGAAGGUCAGAGGCCGCGGAGGUGAGCCCGCCACAUCACGCUGUGGGCUGUCGGAGCUGUGUGUGUGGCUAGGCCUGUGGGGGGUGGGGAUGGGGGGGGUGGGAGGAAAUGGAGACACAGUGGACAGGGGACCUUGUCAAUCUUCCCCUCUAUGUCUGUGAGGGAAAAGGAAAUAGAGCAGAGGCAAAAGUGGGGUGAUGUGGUUGUUUCUUUGCUUUUCUAGGUGAGAGAUUUUGAGGAUAAUUAAAAACAGAGGGAGCGGGUGGUGUGCAGAGGCAGGGGUGCAGGAUGCAGGAGGGAGGAGGCACAGAAUCCGGCCACCCUCACUGUCCCAGAGGGCAGGAUGCGAGCACACGCAGCUGGGGAUCUCAGCCUCCCACUUCUGUCUUCCUUGUGAUGCAGAUGGUAAACCCCAGUGGGUCCACCUCUGCCAAAAGCUUGAGGGCAGAGGUGAGGGCUUGAGACAGCCCCUGGUUAGGGCAUGGGAGAACUGAAGAGGUUCACAUCCCUGCAUCUAGCUCAGAACACGGCCCACAGCUGGUACCCAAAAAUGUUUGCUGACCUUGACCGUAACUGACUCCGGGUCCGUUCCCACCCCACCUGCAGGCCUCCCAUAGCCUUAGCUCACAUCUUAGAUGGUCUCCAAGGCUCUUGGGACCCAAGCCUGCCCACAGCCCCCUCAUCUGGGGCACUGCCCCUGCUCCCAGGCCCACCCAGGGCCCUCUUUCCAUUCCUCCUGCCCUGCUCUAUCUUCCCAUCUACUUGAUGGACAUCUAUGCCACUGGCUCAUUCCUGCCUGUGGGCCGUGGCACCUGCCACUCCCUCUGCAUGAGAAGCCCUCCUUCUCUUUCAGCUCUGGUUCCUCCAGGCAUCACCCUCAGAAAAGUCAGGCCUAGGGAGUUCUGGCUGUGGUGCAGCGGAAACCAAACCAACUAGUAUCCAUGAGGAUGCAAGUUACAUCCCUGGCCUCACUCAGUGGGUUAAGGAUCCGGCAUUACUGUGAGCUGUGGUGUAGGUCACAGAUGCCACUCAGAACCCGUGUUGCUUUGGCUGUGGCGUGGGCUGGUAACCACAGCUCCAAUUCGACCCCUAGUCUGGGAACCUCGAUAUGCUGUGGGUGUGGCCCUAAAAAGACAAAAAAAAAAAAAAAAAAAAAGAAAAAAAAAAAAAAAAAAGAAAAAAAAAAAAAAAAAAAGAAAGAAAAGGAAGGAAGGAAGGAAGAAAAAAGGAAGAAAAAAAGAAAAAAGGAAGGAAAAGAAAAAAGCCUCCCCUGGCCAUUUUAAGUGUUGGAGCUCGCCCUCCCAUUUCCCCACAUCACCCCCAGCAUUUGUUCACAAGGUAUUAGUCUCUGUCAUUCAGUGUUUCUUCUCGGAAGAAGGUGACCUCGAUGAGGGUCAGAUCUAGUCUGUCUUGUCCCCUGUCUGGCACCUGGGAAGCACCUCACGAGUAUGGAAGGAAUGAAUGAACGCAGAGACCCUGCCCCAGGCAGGCUGGCCUCAGCUGUGCAGGGAGAGCAGCCACGUCUUCCCGGCCCCCCACCCCUACCCCCACCGGGGUCCUCCUCCUAUUAUUUUCCUCCUAAAUUGCCUUCUGGGGAUUUCCAAGAGUUGGCUUACAUAGCAUAAUCAAGACAAACUGGUUAUAUAAACGAGGCCCCCUGUGGACCACCCUAUGCCUUUUCUAAAAUGUUAUUUUUACCCCGCAUUUUCUCUUCUGGGGAUUUGGGCUUGUGUGGUAAGCCUUUAAGAUGUGGCUCUUUGGUUUUUCAAGAGAGAUUUUGUAUCUCUGGCCAGUCAGAUGCACAGCCCACCUCAUCCAUAUUGACUAGACAGCUCCUCAGCCCUGCAGUCCACAGAGGCUGCGGAAGGAGCAGCAUCUUUCUUUCCUCCUCUAGCUGGACACUGCUGGGAACUGAGACCUAGACUGCAGGGGCAACACGGAGAAUGGAAUCUGCUGAUACUCCAUCCAUUUGUAGCUCGAGAGAGGCUUACUGAGCACCCGACACUGCUCUGCACAAUUUCCUAGGUCAUAGUCCUCCAGAAUGCCACCCGAUGGGCAUGUCCCCAUUUUAUAGAUGAUGGCCGAGGCACAGAGACAUCAAGGAAAUUGCCCUAAAGUCACACAGUAGUGGAGGGGUCAGGACUUGGCUCCACAGUGUCCAAUAUCAAAGCCAGCACCAUACCGUCUCUUUCACUUUUCCCAGCCUGUCCCCAGAGCUGUGGACAGGAUGAACAAGUGACUUCAGGUGCUGCCCCCCACUCCCCCUCCCUCCCUCAGAUGCCAACCAACCUGGCAGGACUCCGUGGAGCAGCCCAGACACUGGCACCAAACAACCCAGGUUGGAUCCCAGCUCUGCCUUCUUCUCAACACUUCAUUUCCAGGAGUAACUCCCUGUGCUUCUCAGAGAUACAUUCCUUGUAUGACUUGGGAAUUCCUUGGAGAAGCUUAAGAGCAAGAGAAAUUGGGUAGGAGGAACACACCCAUGAGAGAAAUCUAGACGCUGAAAAAUCGGAAAGGGCCCUUAUUAUGAUCCAGGCUGAAUGCCGAGUUUGAAGGAUAAGGAGGCGGAGGCUCACAGUGGGGAGUGACCUGUCCAGGGCUUGGGACGUGUCAGGGGAAGAGCAGAGUCCAUUCCCUCCUCCCCUCCUGCCCUUCCUGGUCCAUCACUAGCGGAGGUGUGCUCCAGGCUGUCCAUCUCCUCCACUACCGAGAGAGAGAGGACUCUGGCUUUCCUAGUGGCACAGUCUUCUCCUGACUGCAGGGAAAGCCUGGCCCUGCCUGGCAGCCUGCCCACAAAGAGGGACCAAAGGGGACAGGGUCAAAAUAGAACUCUCUGCUCACCUUCCCCCAGACUCUUGAGGGAUUUGGGCAUGAGAAAAUGAACCACAGUGUGCGAGGGAAGUAGUUAUGAGAAAAAAUGAAGGUUUUUAAGAAUUUUUUCUCUGGCCUAACGAGCCCACUUCAAGAUAUUCAAGAAAAAAUUUAAGUGACACACUGGUUGUUAGAUAGGGCACUUCUCAGAUGCCGGACUCUGAGAGUCCCAGUAUUGGUUCAUAAUAGUAUUUCUUUGAGCACCAGAUAUGUUCCAGGAACCCAGGACUCCAAGCUGUCCUGAAAACCAUGUCUAAAAGUAGGGAUCUGAGUCACUCAGGACCCUGCCCUUUAUCCAGCAGGUCUGAGUCUAGAAACUACUCCAGAAAUAUCUAUUUUCGGUCCCUUGGCAAGCAUAGCUAUGGCAGUGCUCCCCUCCUACUUUCCAGAUAUCUAUGUAUACUUGUCAACAGAGAUUUAACUGAAAAUAAGGGUAAACCUGUGAUAGAGGCUGCAAUAGGGAUUUAUUCUUCUCACUUAAGAAGUCUGGAGGUGGCUAAUGGCUGCUAGUGAUAAUUAGGUAGCUCCACGCCAUCAGGGCUAAUGUCUUGAAGGUUCUUUUGAUCAUUACCUCAUGAUUGCAAGAUGGCUGCUGAAGCACCAACCAUCAAAUUCUUAUUCACAACAGGAAGAAUGGAGAAAGGAUCAAGAACUUCACAGCAGAGUUCCAUCUAUGUGUUAUCAUCUAGCAUUGCGUCUCAUGGGAAAAGGCACUAGUAGGAGAUAGGUUGGGAAUGGAGUGUGGGUCAGGCAACCCACAUUAUCUGCCAUCCUCUCCUGUGACUAUAUUUAUUUCUGCCUAACUCAGCUGAGGUUACUGGUGUCUAAGGUGUAGGUUGACAAGAGCUUCAGGGGCUGCCUCUUUAGGAGGAGAGUUAAAUGAUCCAAAAGCCUCCAAGAUACAAAGAUAGGAAGUCACAAAUAGUAGGAAAGUAGGUGGGUGGAUAAGGACGUUAGAUAAGGACGUUGAAUCUGGUCCCGCCUCAAAUU